This 24-nucleotide non-coding RNA is filed under the name Arabidopsis thaliana (thale cress). The record is from RNAcentral. Lineage: Eukaryota; Viridiplantae; Streptophyta; Magnoliopsida; Brassicales; Brassicaceae.
GGUACGCCAAGUGUGCCAACUCCC